Homo sapiens (human) is the source of this 1774-nucleotide long non-coding RNA. Ensembl annotates it as long intergenic non-protein coding RNA 343. NCBI's taxonomy places the organism in Eukaryota, Metazoa, Chordata, Mammalia, Primates, Hominidae. The record is from Ensembl.
UUAGGCUGCAGUGAAUUCUACAAAGAGGCUAUGGGAAAGAAACCUGGAAAGUACCCUUGGCUGUGUACAUUUGAGUAAAGAGAGCACUAUAAAAUCAAAAACCAAUGAAAUGGUUUCCAGAACACAGAACUAUUAAGCUUAAGAAAAGGACAGAAGGAACUGAAGAGAGAGGAACUGUUUUGGAGCAUCACACUUCCACCUCAGAAGAAAUAAGGAAGGAAGGAGGAGGGUGUUCCCACGGCUCUUCAACCAGGCCGGCUCUUCAGCCUACAUCCCCAUCUCAUCAAGUAAAAGGGAUUUUUCAACUGGACCAACCAGAUGGUUUAACAGUGCACUCCCACACCAUUCAACUACGCAAGGGAGAUACACUUAACAUAUGCAGUCGUAUAACACCUACUAACAUUUUCAAACAUUAAACCUUUAAAAAAGAGUUCUAAAGAAAUAGAAGCUUGAAGUAUCAUCUCUCAAGUAUAUAGACACUACUUCAUGGUGUGGUAAUAUAUGCAUAUAGAAGCUAGUAAACACCUCCAGGAGAUGCAAAAGGAAUUAGAACUGCCACAAGGUGCAAGCAAAACCUUGAGGUAAUCAAUCUGCAUCCCAUUUUGGAUGAGAAUAUUUGCAACUUUGAAGGUUAUUUUAAGGACAGCAGCAGAAGAAUUAUGGCAGGUAUCUGAAAUUCAUUUCUGUGCUUUGCCGAGGACCCAUGGGAUGCCAUUUGCAGAUGAGAAAACUAAAGAAUAGCUUUAUCUUCCAGCUCUUCACGGAAAAAAAAAUGGCAACAAUAAAAUCAGCAACUCCUGCCAAAUAAAUGGGCAUAAAAAAGAAAUCAUAGACUGCUGGCAAUGGUGGGGAAAAAGUUAUAAAAAUUGUCUCUGCACCAUCUUCCUUUUGUCCUCUAAAAUAUUCACAUUAGCAAAAGUAUAUAACAGCUGAUGAAGAAAUACUGAUAAUUUGUCUUUUUCUGUUUUUCCUCUUCUAAUCCUUCACCCAUCUGAGCUAAAGUCUAGACCUAAGGAGGCUACUAAUUCAGGGAUCGAGUAAUCUGCCAAGCAAGAGUUUAUUCAAGCACAGUUUGAAAUAAAGGUUUCAAAUGCAUAGCCUGUCGAUACUUUGGAAGGAUUCUCAUCAUAACGAGUAUGCAAUUUGCUAUAAAGAAGAAUGCCCAUUACGGACUAAAUGUUUAUGUCCUCCUAAAAUUCAUAUGUUGAAGGCCUAACUCUCAAUGUGAUGAUUAUGUGGAGAUGGUGCCUUUGGGAGGAUAUGGGAGGACACCUGAGACGGCAGGCCAGAAGUCACUCAGUAGGAGAAACAUCCGUUAGAAGUAAUAAUGUGGGAUUGCUGAAGUAAAGACUAUAGGAAGAAAAAAGUGUCUGUGUGUAGGAAACGGAAAGGGAGAGAAAAAUACACUGAGAUGGUAAAGUAAGGAAGUGGAAGAUCAGCAGAAUGUGCAGAUGCCAAGCCAUCCAAGAAAAUCAUCUCUUGUGAUUGUUGCGAAGUCAACUAGCUAAUGUGACUCACUGCUAGGCUGUUGGAUCUGAGACUUAUGUGGGAUAAUUUAGAAACUUGCUAGUGUCUUAAGAUCAAUUACUCACCAAUGAGAGUGGCAUUGAACUGUGAAUGUUCCUCCUAGAUUUUCCAUGAAGACUAAUGGUUUUGUCUUGUCUUGAAUUUGUUUUAAUUACAAUUUGUAUACAUCCUGUUCCACCCUGAAAUUUUUAUUUUCCAAAUGGUUUUUCAUUUAAAGAGACUAAAUAAAGGUUCUGACUGAGUUGUA